RNAcentral lists this ribosomal RNA (433 nucleotides) under uncultured bacterium. Its description in RNAcentral is "bacterial SSU rRNA". It matches the Rfam family "Bacterial small subunit ribosomal RNA", at positions 83 to 504 of the family's 1533-position model. The record is from RNAcentral.
CCCCCGGUUAAAGCGGCGGACUGGUGAGUAACGCGUGGGUGACCUACCUUGAGGAUGGGGAUAGCUGUUAGAAAUAGACAGGUAAAACCGAAUAAGCUAGUAUGACUAUGGUUAUAUUAGGAAAGAUGCUACGGCAUUGCCUUAAGAUGGGCCCGCGUCCCAUUAGCUAGUUGGUAGAGUAAAGGUUUACCAAGGCGAAGAUGGGUAGCCGGCCUGAGAGGGUGAACGGCACACUGGGACUGAGAUACGGCCCAGACUCCUACGGGAGGCAGCACGCUAAGAAUAUUCCGCAAUGGACGAAAGUCUGACGGAGCGACGCCGCGUGGAUGAGGAAGGCCGAAAGGUUGUAAAAUCCUUUUGCGAAUGAAGAAUAAGCGUGGUAGGGAAUGACCGCGUGAUGACGUUAGUUCGCGAAUAAGCCCCGGCUAAUUAC